This 368-nucleotide ribosomal RNA is filed under the name uncultured organism. RNAcentral's name for it is "bacterial SSU rRNA". It matches the Rfam family "Bacterial small subunit ribosomal RNA", at positions 526 to 896 of the family's 1533-position model. The record is from RNAcentral.
CGGAGGGUGCAAGCGUUAUCCGGAUUCACUGGGUUUAAAGGGUGCGUAGGUGGGUUGAUAAGUCAGUGGUGAAAUCUCCAGGCUUAACUUGGAAACUGCCAUUGAUACUAUCAGUCUUGAAUACUGUGGAGAUGAGCGGAAUAUGUCAUGUAGCGGUGAAAUGCUUAGAUAUGACAUAGAACACCUAUUGCGAAGGCAGCUCGUUACACAAAUAUUGACACUGAGGCACGAAAGCGUGGGGAUCAAACAGGAUUAGAUACCCUGGUAGUCCACGCCCUAAACGAUGGAUACUCGACAUUUGCGAUAAACUGCAAGUGUCUGAGCGAAAGCAUUAAGUAUCCCACCUGGGAAGUACGACCGCAAGGUUG